This 3125-nucleotide small RNA is filed under the name Arabidopsis thaliana (thale cress). RNAcentral describes it as "ATSL205410". The stretch from base 2337 to 2443 matches the Rfam family "Plant small nucleolar RNA R71". Lineage: Eukaryota; Viridiplantae; Streptophyta; Magnoliopsida; Brassicales; Brassicaceae. The record is from RNAcentral.
UUGGGUUUUAAAUAUCACUCACACUCGACCAAUGUACUCGAUCUCUAGGCUCUCUGUAGAGUAAAAGUUUUGAAUUUUUACUCUAGCCUCACGUUAUUCCUCUAAUCCUGAGAACCACAAACACAACAAAAACAAAUCAAAAAUAACAAGAAAGUAAAAAUUAUUCACAAGGAUAAUCAUGGGACUUCCUCCCAAGUGAGCUUGUUUAAAGUCUCUAGCUUGACACCUCACACUUAUCAAGAGGAAAAUGAACUAUAGAGAGGGUCUGCAUAAUCCUCUCUGAUACCAUCAUCAUACUCAGCGUCCUCCCUGGAGAAUUGUGCAGCAGAAUACUCAAUUCCCCUCUCUUCAAAAUAUGCUUUUUUCUCCUCUGGAGGGUAAUCUGUCUCUUCAGACCAUCUUGAAGUGAACUUCUUUCUCGGGAUAGUGUCAAUCCCGCCUUUAGGUUGAGCUUCUUUCUGCAACUGAUUCAGCUUACUUCUAAGUUCCUCAACAGUGUGGGCUAGCUUCUCUAUAGUUUCAUCUUGCUUAUCAGACCUCUUUUUAAAUUCUUUCACUCUUUCAGUCUCAUAUUCUUCUCUUGAGAUCACUCUAUCAUUUCCAGAGGUUCUUCCAUCUUCUGUUAACCCUUGUGGAGUUUUGUUGAUGCCAAACUGCAACUUGAUAUGCUUUCCAAGGUUGAGACUUAUUUUCCCUUCCCUGACAUCUAUCACUGCUCCCACUGAAGCUAAGAAGGGUCUUCCCAGUAUUAAGGAAUCCUUAUGCUCUACUUCCAUAUCCAGCACCACGAAGUCUGUAGGCACUUCUACUCCAUUAAUCAUGACUGGUACAUCUUUAAGCAUGCUGAAGGGUCUUCUGGAAGACCUAUCCGCAAGGAUCAAAGUCAGGUCACAAGGUUUAUACCGAAUAAACUCUAACCUUCUUGCCACAGAGAGUGGCAUUAAGCUGACAGAGGCUCCGAGAUCGCACAGGCAAUCGCUAAAAGCUAAUUCCCCAAUGGAACAUGGUAGAGUGAAAGAUCCAGGAUCUUCUAACUUCUCUUGAACAAUCCUCUUAUCAGCAGCUCGAGAUGGAGUGCAUCACUUUCAUCAUCUGAAUCAUGAUACAUCUUGAUCCUUUCCAGUAUCAAAUUUCUCACAUCUUUGUGAGGAUCAGGAAUCAGGUUGAGAACUUCCAUCAGUGGCAUCACUACUUCAAUCUCGUCCAGCUGCUUCGCUGCAACAGACUUGUAUUUCUCCAUCCACGCUUUCCUGAAUGUCCACGGAAGAGCACGUGAGGGUAGUGGAGUAGGUUUGAAUCGUUUUACCAUUCUCUCGAUUAUGGCGGCCUUCUCUUCCGAGGUGGAUUGAGUGAGAUGGCGAGAACCAGCAGAAUGGUUGAAUUUAACAAUAGAGACUUCAACUUGGGUAGAAGCCUCCCCUUCUUGAACAUCACUGUCCCCAAUGAUGAAAUCAGGGACAGGUCGAGUUGGCAGCUCUCGAUCAUGGCAUAUGGUGAUGGCGUUAGCAGCUGCAUACUCCUUUGGAUUCUGUAUUGACUUCCCAGGAAGUCCUGUAACUUUUGGUGUAGAGGUAGAUGAUGAUUGUCCUUCCAAAUAUCUGACUUUGGUAUUCAAUGCCUCCACUUUGGUAGCUGCAAUCCAGCUUAUGGUGCAAUUCAGAUAAUUUCUUAGCAAUUUCCAUUGAGCUAGAUGAUUGUCCCUGUAGCAGCUGUUGUACCAUCUGUUUCAUUUCAGCAUCAGGAGCAGCAGGACCUUGGUUUUGCUGAGGUGCAAACCCAGGUGGUGGUUGUUGUUGGUAGUUCCCCUGAAAUUGCUGUUUGGGAACGAAACCUUGGUUGUAUGGAACAAAAGGUUUGUUCUGCCCUUGUUGUUGCUGUGGAGGAUACACCUGAUCCUGAGAUUAGCAACGUUGGUGCUGCGGUAGGAGAGGUUGGGGUUGUUGGUUUUGAAGUUGUUAUACCCUUUGUAGCCACCUUGGUUGUUGUUGAUGUAGCUGACUUCUUCCAACAGGUUACCCUCCCCAUCUUGGACUUGAAACUGCUCGUCAUCAACAAGGAAGUGCACAUGCUUCUGCUGGCUAAGAAGAAUCCUGUCCAGCUUGUCAUUCAGCGUUUUGAUCUCCUUCCUGUGUUUGUCAUCAGAGUCAGCUGUGCCUUUGACGGUCCUAUCGCAGUCCUCGUUGUAAUUACCAUCUGAUUGAGCAAGGUUCUCAACCAAUUCUCAGCCUUCUUCAACAUCUUUGUUCUGGAAAUUUCCAUUGCUGGCGGUAUCCAGAAGCAUUCUGAUGCGUGGUAGGACUCCUCUGUAAAGAGUGCUGAGCAGAGAGGCUUUAGUAAAGCCAUGAUGAGGGCAUUGGUUGGUGUAACCCUUGAAACGCUCCCAUGCUUCACAUAAGCUUUCACCAGUCUUCUGUGAGAAACCAGAAAUCUCAUUUCUGAGUCUUGCAGUUCUGGCAUUGGAGAAGAACUUUGAUAGAAAAGCCUUCUUACAAUCAUCCCAAGUGGUGAUUGAGUCAUGGAGCAAAUUCUUCUCCCAGAUGUGUGCUUUGUCGCCCAAGGAGAAUGGAAACAAACGGAGCUUGAAUCCGUCUUCACUAACACCAUUGAUCUUUGUUAGGUUGCAGAGCCUAUCGAAUUCAUCAAGGUGGUCGAGUGGAUCCUCCAUUGGCAGACCAUGGAAUUUGUUCCCCUGAAUCAUCGAGAUGAGACCACUCUUAAUCUCGAAGUUGUUGUUCUGGAUAGCAGGAGGUGCAAUUCCUUUCCUCUGACGGUGAUCACGUGGUGCAUCUCCAGCACCAAUGUUGGCAGGGCCAUUUUGUUGAUUCUAUUCUUCAGCCAUUUCGACUGGUUGCUGAGGUACAAGGUUGACUGUGUUUCUCCUUUCUCUGAGUUCGCGAGCUAUGUGGUCGAUGUUGUCGUUGAAAAGGAGGUUCUGAUUGCCUGUUGAUCGAGUUCGCAUACAACAGAGGUGUACCUGGAUCAAGAAGACAACAAGGAAAACACACAGUUAGCAACCGAUUUGAAAAUUGAAAAAGAACUUGAUCUAAGCAAGUCUGAAAUCUCAAAUGUAACAAACAAACACCCAAUCGGCAAUGGCGCCAAAUUGAUAAUAGGUUUUUAAUCAA